GGUUUGUGAUAGUAGUGUAUAAAAGCAGUCAGACUAAAGGUUGAAGAGAUGCUCAAUGGAUUAAUGAAAAAGACCAAAUGCUCAAAUACAAUUUGAAAAACUGGCUUAUUUGGGCAGCAAUCUUGUGACUCUUGAAGACCCAGGAUUAGAGGGAAGAUUCCAUCCUCAAAUAGGAAAAUCCAGUGACAGUUGGACAUUGGAUGGUGAUGACUGAAAGGGGAAGAUGAAGACUAGAUCACACUCCCAACCCAGAUAGCUAUCUUCGUUAGCUUGAAAGCUAGUCUAAAUAAAUUAUUGUUCAUUGUUCAAAAUGGGAAGGAAAUAAACAUGAGAAAGAGCUCAAAGAGAUA
This is a non-coding RNA of Pantherophis guttatus, 350 nucleotides long. NCBI's taxonomy places the organism in Eukaryota, Metazoa, Chordata, Lepidosauria, Squamata, Colubridae. The record is from RefSeq and is a predicted model, not a curated record.